RNAcentral lists this ribosomal RNA (494 nucleotides) under uncultured bacterium. Its description in RNAcentral is "partial 16S ribosomal RNA". It matches the Rfam family "Bacterial small subunit ribosomal RNA", at positions 28 to 507 of the family's 1533-position model. The record is from RNAcentral.
GACGAACGCUGGCGGCGCGCUUAACACAUGCAAGUCGAACGGAAAGGCCUGCUUUCCCUUGUGGAUUGCGGGUACUCGAGUGGCGAACGGGUGAGUAACACGUGAGUGAUCUGCCCCCAACUUGGGUAUAAGCCUGGGAAACUGGGUCUAAUUCCCGAUAGGACUGCAGGGUGGUGCCUGUGGUGGAAAACGAUUUUCUAGUGGUUGGGGAUGAGCUCGCGGCCUAUCAGCUUGUUGGUGGGGUAAUGGCCUACCAAGGCGGCGACGGGUAGGCGGCCGGGGACGGCCGAAGUGGACCUUAGACACGGCACAGGCCCCAGAGGGAGACGGCAGGAAGGAGUCGGGCACAAUGGACGAUGGGCGGACGCCGCAAGCCGGGACGAGGGGUGAAGGACGUCGGGUCUCGGGUUGUUGUCUUCUGUCGAGAGCGAGGAAGGUACGUGUAUGGCAGGGUCGUGACGGUAGUGGACGAAGAAGCAACGGCUAACUACGUG